GACGAACGCUGGCGGCGUGCUUAACACAUGCAAGUCGAGCGGUAAGGCCCUUUCGGGGGUACACGAGCGGCGAACGGGUGAGUAACACGUGGGUGACCUGCCUUUAGCUCUGGGAUAAGCCUGGGAAACUGGGUCUAGUACCGGAUAUGACCCUAUGGCGCAUGUUGUGGGGUGGAAAGCCUUGUGCGGCUAGGGAUGGGCCCGCGGCCUAUCAGCUUGUUGGUGGGGUGAUGGCCUACCAAGGCGACGACGGGUAGCCGGCCUGAGAGGGCGACCGGCCACACUGGGACUGAGACACGGCCCAGACUCCUACGGGAGGCAGCAGUGGGGAAUCUUGCGCAAUGGGCGAAAGCCUGACGCAGCGACGCCGCGUGAGGGAUGACGGCCU
Molecule: ribosomal RNA, 388 nt
Filed under: uncultured bacterium
Lineage: Bacteria
Description: bacterial SSU rRNA
Rfam family: Bacterial small subunit ribosomal RNA
Source: RNAcentral